UGGGGAAUUUUGGACAAUGGGCGAAAGCCUGAUCCAGCAAUGCCGCGUGUGUGAAGAAGGCCUUCGGGUUGUAAAGCACUUUUGUCCGGAAAGAAAUCCUUGGCUCUAAUACAGUCGGGGGAUGACGGUACCGGAAGAAUAAGCACCGGCUAACUACGUGCCAGCAGCCGCGGUAAUACGUAGGGUGCAAGCGUUAAUCGGAAUUACUGGGCGUAAAGCGUGCGCAGGCGGUUUGCUAAGACCGAUGUGAAAUCCCCGGGCUCAACCUGGGAACUGCAUUGGUGACUGGCAGGCUAGAGUAUGGCAGAGGGGGGUAGAAUUCCACGUGUAGCAGUGAAAUGCGUAGAGAUGUGGAGGAAUACCGAUGGCGAAGGCAGCCCCCUGGGCCAAUACUGACGCUCAUGCACGAAAACGUGGGGAGCAAACAGGAUUAGAUACCCUGGUAGUCCACGCCCUAAACGAUGUCAACUAGUUGUUGGGGAUUCAUUUCCUUAGUAACGUAGCUAACGCGUGAAGUUGACCGCCUGGGGAGUACGGUCGCAAGAUU
Molecule: ribosomal RNA, 547 nt
Filed under: uncultured bacterium
Lineage: Bacteria
Description: partial 16S ribosomal RNA
Rfam family: Bacterial small subunit ribosomal RNA
Source: RNAcentral